RNAcentral lists this small nuclear RNA (103 nucleotides) under Tropilaelaps mercedesae. RNAcentral's name for it is "U5 spliceosomal RNA". It matches the Rfam family "U5 spliceosomal RNA". Rfam says of the family: U5 RNA is a component of both types of known spliceosome. The precise function of this molecule is unknown, though it is known that the 5' loop is required for splice site selection and p220 binding, and that both the 3' stem-loop and the Sm site are important for Sm protein binding and cap methylation. Lineage: Eukaryota; Metazoa; Arthropoda; Arachnida; Mesostigmata; Laelapidae. The record is from Rfam by way of RNAcentral.
ACUGAUUGCCUCGACGAAUAUGCGUUUCGCCUUUUACUAAACGCAUCCGUGCUGGGAGACCUACCUCGUCACCGAGUUUUUCUUAUUCAGUCUAUUAAAGAAA